This 259-nucleotide ribosomal RNA is filed under the name uncultured prokaryote. RNAcentral describes it as "partial 16S ribosomal RNA". It matches the Rfam family "Bacterial small subunit ribosomal RNA", at positions 524 to 782 of the family's 1533-position model. The record is from RNAcentral.
UACGUAGGGUGCGAGCGUUGUCCGGAAUUAUUGGGCGUAAAGAGCUUGUAGGCGGCUUGUCGCGUCUGCUGUGAAAAUCCGGGGCUCAACCCCGGACUUGCAGUGGGUACGGGCAGACUAGAGUGUGGUAGGGGAGACUGGAAUUCCUGGUGUAGCGGUGAAAUGCGCAGAUAUCAGGAGGAACACCGAUGGCGAAGGCAGGUCUCUGGGCCACUACUGACGCUGAGAAGCGAAAGCAUGGGGAGCGAACAGGAUUAGA